AUUGAACGCUGGCGGCAUGCUUUACACAUGCAAGUCGAACGGUAACAGGCCGCAAGGUGCUGACGAGUGGCGAACGGGUGAGUAAUGCAUCGGAACGUGCCCAGUCGUGGGGGAUAACUACUCGAAAGAGUAGCUAAUACCGCAUACGAUCUAUGGAUGAAGGCGGGGGACCGUAAGGCCUCGCGCGAUUGGAGCGGCCGAUGUCAGAUUAGGUAGUUGGUGGGGUAAAGGCUCACCAAGCCAACGAUCUGUAGCUGGUCUGAGAGGACAACCAGCCACACUGGGACUGAGACACGGCCCAGACUCCUACGGGAGGCAGCAGUGGGGAAUUUUGGACAAUGGGCGCAAGCCUGAUCCAGCAAUGCCGCGUGCAGGAAGAAGGCCUUCGGGUUGUAAACUGCUUUUGUACGGAACGAAACGGCUCUGGUUAAUACCCGGGGCUAAUGACGGUACCGUAAGAAUAAGCACCGGCUAACUACGUG
Molecule: ribosomal RNA, 482 nt
Filed under: uncultured bacterium
Lineage: Bacteria
Description: partial 16S ribosomal RNA
Rfam family: Bacterial small subunit ribosomal RNA
Source: RNAcentral